RNAcentral lists this ribosomal RNA (460 nucleotides) under uncultured bacterium. Its description in RNAcentral is "bacterial SSU rRNA". It matches the Rfam family "Bacterial small subunit ribosomal RNA", at positions 29 to 533 of the family's 1533-position model. The record is from RNAcentral.
AACGAACGCUGGCGGCAUGCCUAACACAUGCAAGUCGAACGAACCCUUCGGGGUUAGUGGCGCACGGGUGCGUAACGCGUGGGAAUCUGCCCAAAGGUUCGGAAUAACACAGAGAAAUUUGUGCUAAUACCGGAUAAUGUCUUCGGACCAAAGAUUUAUUGCCUUUGGAUGAGCCCGCGUUGGAUUAGCUUGUUGGCGAGGUAACGGCUCACCAAGGCGACGAUCUAUAGCUGGUCUGAGAGGAUGAUCAGCCACACUGGGACUGAGACACGGCCCAGACUCCUACGGGAGGCAGCAGUGGGGAAUAUUGGACAAUGGGCGAAAGCCUGAUCCAGCAAUGCCGCGUGAGUGAUGAAGGCCUUAGGGUUGUAAAGCUCUUUUACCAGGGAUGAUAAUGACAGUACCUGGAGAAUAAGCUCCGGCUAACUCCGUGCCAGCAGCCGCAGUAAAGUCGUACGAU